CGCCUUGAGCUUUUGAUAACUAUGUUUAAAAGGAGGAAGUGAAUUCAAAUUUGAUAAGUAGCUUUUGAAUGGAAAUGCAAAGAAGUCAAAGAAGAAGUUUGAAAAGAAAAAUAUAACAAUUGGCUUAUCUAUCAAUUACUUAUUUAGUACGAAGGAAAAAAAAGUAAAAGAAAGAAGAGGAGGAGAGAAAGUAGAAGAUAGAAGGCAGAAGUAUGUCUACUGUUCGGCCAAAUCUGUGAGUUUAUGAAAUAUUUUACAAUUGAUGUUUGGUUGUGAUUAACAUAUGUAAGUCUAGUAUAUGUGGUUAAAAUUUGAAAAUUAUUGAAUGGUUAGAUUGGUUGAUUAAGAUGGUUUGGUUAUGUCUAACGUAGAGCAUCAAAUGUCCUAGUACGGAAGUGUCAUAAGUUAGUAGGGAAGGAAGGAGAAGGGGAGACUUAAAAUGAUGUGG
Molecule: unclassified non-coding RNA, 448 nt
Filed under: Hevea brasiliensis (rubber tree)
Lineage: Eukaryota; Viridiplantae; Streptophyta; Magnoliopsida; Malpighiales; Euphorbiaceae
Source: RNAcentral